Molecule: ribosomal RNA, 243 nt
Filed under: uncultured bacterium
Lineage: Bacteria
Description: partial 16S ribosomal RNA
Rfam family: Bacterial small subunit ribosomal RNA
Source: RNAcentral
UCGAGCGUUAGGCGGAAUCACUGGGCUUAAAGCGUGUGUAGGCGGAAGAGUAAGUACCUUGUGAAAUCCCACGGCUCACCCGUGGAACCGCUGGGUAUACUGCUCUUCUUGGGCCACUCAGGGGCGACUGGAACAAGCGGUGGAGCGGUGAAAUGCGUAGAUAUCGCUUGGAACGCCGAAGGUGAAAACAGGUCGCUGGGAGUGCGCCGACGCUGAGACACGAAAGCCAGGGGAGCAAACGGG